RNAcentral lists this ribosomal RNA (446 nucleotides) under uncultured bacterium. Its description in RNAcentral is "partial 16S ribosomal RNA". It matches the Rfam family "Bacterial small subunit ribosomal RNA", at positions 338 to 795 of the family's 1533-position model. The record is from RNAcentral.
CCUACGGGCGGCAGCAGUCGAGAAUCAUUCACAAUGGGGGAAACCCUGAUGGUGCGACGCCGCGUGGGGGAAUGAAGGUCUUCGGAUUGUAAACCCCUGUCAUGUGGGAGCAAAUUAAAAAGAUAGUACCACAAGAGGAAGAGACGGCUAACUCUGUGCCAGCAGCCGCGGUAAUACAGAGGUCUCAAGCGUUGUUCGGCAUCACUGGGCGUAAAGCGUGCGUAGGCUGUUUCGUAAGUCGUGUGUGAAAGGCGCGGGCUCAACCCGCGGACGGCACAUGAUACUGCGAGACUAGAGUAAUGGAGGGGGAACCGGAAUUCUCGGUGUAGCAGUGAAAUGCGUAGAUAUCGAGAGGAACACUCGUGGCGAAGGCGGGUUACUGGACAUUAACUGACGCUGAGGCACGAAAGCCAGGGGAGCGAAAGGGAUUAGAUACCCCGGUAGUC